This 449-nucleotide ribosomal RNA is filed under the name uncultured prokaryote. Its description in RNAcentral is "bacterial SSU rRNA". It matches the Rfam family "Bacterial small subunit ribosomal RNA", at positions 355 to 796 of the family's 1533-position model. The record is from RNAcentral.
UCGAGAAUCUUCCACCAAUGCGCGAAAGCGUGAUGGAGCGACGUCGCGUGUGUGAUGAAGGCCCUAGGGUUGUAAAGCACUGUCAGGAAGUUCUAAACCCUCACGGUUAAUACCCGUUGAGGCUGAAGGGCUACCAGAGGAAGCACCGGCUAAAUCCGUGCCAGCAGCCGCGGUAAUACGGAUGGUGCAAGCGUUAUUCGGAAUCACUGGGCAUAAAGAGCACGUAGGCGGCUACGUAAGUCAGUGGUGAAAUCCCUCGGCUUAACCGAGGAACUGCCAUUGAUACUGCGUGGCUAGAGUGCGGGAGGGGCAGACGGAAUUCCAGGUGGAGCGGUGAAAUGCGUAGAUAUCUGGAGGAACGCCAGAGGCGAAAGCGGUCUGCUGGCCCGAAACUGACGCUGAGGUGCGAAAGCUAGGGGAGCAAACAGGAUUAGAUACCCCCGUAGUCC